CUGACCUGCCGCCGAACUUGGUUAAGGGGUUUCUAAUGCCAAAAAAAAAAGGCUUAAAAAAAUACUAGGACUUAAUGUUCUUUGAGAUCAAAAAAAUUUGUGAAUGUUGAGAAAUCAUUUCAAACCUAAUAUUUUUUAUUGGGUUCUUUGCGAACUUCAAGAGAUGUUAUAAAUCUUGAUAUUCAUCCAAGACAUCAAGUAUCAGAUAUUGGGCAAUAAAUGUCAGUAAAAUAGACAUAUAUAUUAAAAAAUUAUAGGAAAAUAUUGCCCUAACCCCUGAAAAAGAUAAGAAUUUCCUAAUUACCCCUGUCCUAUUUUUUGUUUCAAGCGGCAUUAGAAUUCUUGACAAUCUUAUGUCCCGGCCCCUACUCACGUCCCUUCCCUUUUCUUACUUUUUUUGGGCUUCUUAUUUACCCGAGACAAUUUCCUUCAUUAUUUUCAAGUUCUUUCCCUCUCUUCCCCUUUUAUCCCUGUAAUGGACCCCUUCUGCCCUACUUUCUCUGCUGAUGCUCUCUCCUCCUCGUAUCCCUCUAGCCGACCAUGAGCUCUCUUCCCCCCCCCUUCCCUCCAACACACACACAUGGACACUUGCACAUACAUGCUCCCAGUUUUACCAUUUCUUUUCAUUUAUCUGUUUUUUUUAUGCAUUAACUAAAGAUGAUAUGCUCUAGUCAUGGGGUUUCCUAGAACAAGUUCUUGAAGUUUAUUGCUAGUGUCAAAUUUCCUUGUUUUCUUUAUCCUCCUAUGUUUUCCUUCAACAGUUAGAUCUGCCGCAUUUUCAAUGCUGGUCUUGGUUUCCUUCUGCGGUUAGUAAUUGUCCUGUGCUUUCCACCUGACCUCUCAUUCUCAACAUUAAGAGAGUUGAUGCCAACCUUAGAAUCAAUUCAUCACACUUUCAUAAUUUACUUCCUGGACUUUAUUGACUUUAAUAUUUCUUCCUAACAAAUAUGACGAUAUUGAAUACUGAUUAUGCAUCCUUUACUCCAAAAUAUCCAAGAUUUAAUGUGGUUGAGUUUCUGAAAAUAUUACGGUAUCAACUCGUGUUAUUUCCAUGAUAAGUCUAAAGUUAUGGAUGGAAUUAGUAUUUCCUUUUUUUACAGAUGAACAAUAUUAGCUGAAUACUGGCAUUCCUGAAAUAAUAAGGGUGACUUUUACUGUCCUGUAUUUUGUUAUAUUUAUUUUUAGUUGUGUUCGACUUAUUGUUGUUAUGUUUCAAAAUUUUCCUCCUUUGACUUACAUACCUAUUUUCCCAUUUAGCUUUUUGUGAUAUGGUCCAUACCUACUUCAGUAGUUGUGAUGCUCAGUUGUUGUUGGUGUCUAUAUUUAUGUAUAGACGCAUAUAUGCUAGAACCCCACACAUUGUGUUAAUGUUAAAGACAGUGUAACAUUAGGCCCAUGGUUAUAAAAUCCAUGGUUUAUAGUCUAGUUGAGCUUGGGUACAAUAAAUCAUGUUAUGGCCCCUAACUCCAUACUCGUAAGUGAUUUUAUGAUGCGUUACUGAUGUAAAUUUUAUGUCUUCACUGUUAUUCCUCCCCUUGAAAGUCCCAUCCAUACUGCAAUUUCCAGUUCUGCCAUCUUUGCUGCUCAAAGUGUAUCAUGAAAGUGUACCAUAUCCAUUUCUUCUCAUCUUUGUCCUUGACAUGUUGAACCAUACCUUUUGUUUGCUACACUUUGUGCUGCUACCACUUGUUGAAUGUUUUGAUCCUGACUGUCAUCAUGUGUAGCAUACUGUUCUUUAUCAUCACUGUUAGUACUUUUAUCAUCUCGACCUGUGGUAGCAUACUGUUGGAGCUUUCUUCUUGGACACUUUAUGGUUUUGAGACACUCUGGACCACAUGAAUUUCCCAAGUGUUAUGGGGUCAGUUGGGAGUAAAGGGAAAUUUAUCAAAAUAAGUUAUCGACUAUUUGAAGUUUAACGUUUUACCUAUAUCUUUUGAUUUAAUUUAAAAACACCCAUCAAAAUACACAUGACCAAGAGUUGGAAUAGUUGUAAUUUGAAAAAGAGUAAAUUGUUAAUUGUUGAAAGGUGUAUUUCUAUAAAUUCCUUGGUGCUAGUGAUUGGACUUUUUUGGAAUUAGGUGAAAACUGUGGGCUUAGGUGGAGAUUUUCAAGUUUCACUUUAAAUUUAGAAUACUGUCCUGCCUAUCCUCAACUUUGAAUUAGCCAAUCGGGCGACAGAUAUGGUCCAUUGGACUUUGAUCCAAUCCACUGGCUGGAUGUUCAGACUGCUCCCCAAUGGGAAGCCUACUUAAGUUCAGACAAUCAAACGCCUAGCAAGAAACCAGGAUGAUCAUCCUUGUCAGAACUCAGAACAUUCACCCAACUCAUCCGCGUCACUCAUUUCCAGCCUGCUUUUUCUUCCACUAUCUUCACCAUGCUUGCUAGCAUUUGUUCUCAGGGGCUGUAUCGAGAGCUUGAUCUUGACCCUUCAUUCAUCUCUUCUGUGGAUCUGAAACCUCGUAGCCAGAUAUCCUCUUCACGCCAGAUGUUCGGAAGGCCUUGUUUCUGGAGGAAGAUCAAAAGCUGUUUCUGCUGAUUUGUGUCUCAUCGCAUCAUUUAUUUCAAUACAAGUUUUCUCAAGAAAAAGGUCUCUCCACUAUUGGGUGGAUUUCUCUGACUGGUUAGGUCCUUAUCUGCUCCAUUAAUCUGCCUGCUGAAUUCACUAAAGAAAGAUUUCUACUGUCGUUUGCUUGGUGCCCAAAUAUGGAGCUCGUAAUCGGUGCUACAUAUGGAUUUUCCUCUAUCCUGUGUCAAUCAGGAGUUCUUUGGGAAGAUUUGCUUCCUUGGUGAUCUUUAUGCAGUCCAGCAAUGCGCCACAAACUUCAGGGUUGACACACAAGCCUUCAGAGGCAUUUUUCAGCCUAGUUACGAAUUUGCAUCAGCUCUGGAGAUUAAUGCAGGCUGCUUCUCUUCUUUGGUAGCACUAUCCAUUGAAAUCCGUCUCCUAAUUGCUGAUGCCAUCUUGCAAGUGAAUGUGUCAUCCGCCAGUACUGCAGAGACCUUGAAGACUAAUCUAAAUCGGGUGGGUAGUGAUUAUAGGGAUCUUCGGCAGCUUUUCCUCCAUCCCGCCGUGGAGCUUCAAAUUGCUUUUUUCAACAAUUCUUGGCCCUCUUUUCUAACUUGCCAAUGAUAUCGACUUUCCCUCGAGUAACACAAAUCCAUUCAGUUUGUGCUUUGGUUUGUUCUGUACAACAAAAGCUAUCCAGCACCCCUGGAAUUCGAGCUUUGCUUCUAUAUCUGUUCUUGGACAAGGAUUACAACUGGCUUGCCAGCCUUUGAUUUGGGCUGCGUGUCGCUUGAAGCCAUGAAGCUUAGAGGCAGUGAGGGAGAUCCAACAAUACCGGAGAAGGUUCUAUGUGCUUCAUUGGUUUUAAUGACUGUCAAAAUGCCUGAAAUUGUAAAUAUAGUCAAUCUUCCUUUCAAUUUGCACUGACUGAAUAUUUUUCUUGAGAAAUUUAUCAUGGACAUGACAGAUGAACUAUUUGACAUUUUACUCAUUUAUUUUGA
This is a non-coding RNA of Amborella trichopoda, 3507 nucleotides long. NCBI's taxonomy places the organism in Eukaryota, Viridiplantae, Streptophyta, Magnoliopsida, Amborellales, Amborellaceae. The record is from RefSeq and is a predicted model, not a curated record.